Molecule: ribosomal RNA, 511 nt
Filed under: uncultured bacterium
Lineage: Bacteria
Description: partial 16S ribosomal RNA
Rfam family: Bacterial small subunit ribosomal RNA
Source: RNAcentral
GACGAACGCUGGCGGCAUGCCUAACACAUGCAAGUCGAACGGACGGACCAGAAGAGCUUUUCGGUGUGGUUAUGGACAGACAGUGGCGGAAGGGUGAGUAACGCGUCCACAAAUUCCGUUGUAAAGGGGAAUAACCUCGAGAAAUACCAGCUGAUACUCCAUACUACCUUUGUCUAGAGUGAAAUACGGUGUUAAGGCCGCUUUUGCACUGUCGCUCCCUGCUGGGUCCGCGUUGGAUUAGCUAGUUGGUGAGGUAAAGGCUUACCAAGGCGACGAUGAGUAGCCGGCCUGAGAGGGUGAACGGCCACAUUGGAACUGAGACACGGCCCAGACUCCUACGGGAGGCAGCAGUGGGGAAUCUUCCGCAAUGGGCGAAAGCCUGACGGAGCAAUGCCGCGUGAGUGAUGAAGGCCUUCGGGUUGUAAAACUCUGUUCUUAGGGAAGAAAGUAUGUGGAAGUAACUGUCCAUAUUAUGACGGUACAUAAUGAGAAAGCCCCGGCUAACUACGUG